GACUACGGCCAUGCCACCCUGAGCAAGCCUGAUACUGUCUGAUCUCGGAAGCUAAGCAGGAUCAGGCAUGGUUAGUACUUGGAUGGGAGACCACCUAGGAAGACCAGGUGCUGCAGGUA
Molecule: ribosomal RNA, 119 nt
Filed under: Pteropus alecto (black flying fox)
Lineage: Eukaryota; Metazoa; Chordata; Mammalia; Chiroptera; Pteropodidae
Source: RNAcentral